RNAcentral lists this non-coding RNA (120 nucleotides) under Guillardia theta. Lineage: Eukaryota; Cryptophyceae; Pyrenomonadales; Geminigeraceae. The record is from RNAcentral.
CAACCCGACGCAGCAGGAGUGGGACGCGGCUCUCCUGCUGGCUCAGCAGGGGCUCAAGAUGCUGGAGCAGCUGGUCGGGCUGGACUCUCCCCAGCUCGUCCCGGCACUUCGGGUGUAUGG